This 804-nucleotide non-coding RNA is filed under the name Pan troglodytes (chimpanzee). The record is from RNAcentral. Lineage: Eukaryota; Metazoa; Chordata; Mammalia; Primates; Hominidae.
AGCCCCCUGAAGAUCCUGACGAUCUGGGAUGUGCUGGCUACACCCUGCUCCCCGUCAACCAGGAGCGUUACUGAAGUUACAGUAAAACAAUGUCAGGAGACUGACACAAAAGCAAAUCCUUUCAAAGACUGAUUUUGAAUCCUGAUUGAAGAGAUCAAAAGAAAAUAUAAGAAGUUAGAACUCAUUUCUGGGGCACCACCUCGAUGAAAAAGCUGAGAAGUUCCUGCUACCCAGAGCCCUGCAGUUGCCACAGCUCAAUCUCUUCUCAACCUGGUGCCCAGCUUUUCCUGUUGAUUCUGCAACUAGGCCAGUCAUCUUUUCAAAAAUUCCUUUUCUGCUUGUUGACUAUCUCUGCUAUUUGCAACCAGAAGUAUUUAGAUAAAAUAUUUUUAAAAUGUAUAUGUCACCUUUUUCCUAAUUAUGAUGCAAACUUAUCACAGAAAACUCGUAAUUCUAUACAUUAGAUACAACUAAUGUUAACAUCUUAGUGUUUCCUUCUACUCUUCUAUUCUAAAUAUAUAUACAUAUAUACUUCUUUAAAAAUAGUUGAGUAAUUAGAAGUAGAGUGACUAUAUUUAUAUCAGACAAAAGAAGCCUUAAGAUAAAAAAAAUUACUAGAGACAAAGAGGGACAUUUCAUAAUGAUAAAAGGUUCACAAUUCAAACAUGUAAUUUAAAAAUUCCAUUUGUAAUACCAUCAAAAGGGAUACAAUACUGAAGAAUAAAUGUAGGGCCAGGCGCAGUGGCUCACAGCUGUAAUCCCAGCACUCUGGGAGGCCUAGGCAGGUGGAUCACCUGAGGCCAG